Molecule: ribosomal RNA, 468 nt
Filed under: uncultured bacterium
Lineage: Bacteria
Description: partial 16S ribosomal RNA
Rfam family: Bacterial small subunit ribosomal RNA
Source: RNAcentral
GACGAACGCUGGCGGCGUGCUUAACACAUGCAAGUCGAACGGAAAGGCCCUGCUUUUGUGGGGAGCUCGAGUGGCGAACGGGUGAGUAACACGUGAGUAACCUGCCCUUGACUUUGGGAUAACUUCAGGAAACUGGGGCUAAUACCGGAUAGGAGCUCCUGCUGCAUGGUGGGGGUUGGAGAGUUUCGGCGGUUGGGGAUGGACUCGCGGCUUAUCAGCUUGUUGGUGGGGUAGUGGCUUACCAAGGCUUUGACGGGUAGCCGGCCUGAGAGGGUGACCGGCCACAUUGGGACUGAGAUACGGCCCAGACUCCUACGGGAGGCAGCAGUGGGGAAUAUUGCACAAUGGGCGGAAGCCUGAUGCAGCAACGCCGCGUGCGGGAUGACGGCCUUCGGGUUGUAAACCGCUUUCGCCUGUGACGAAGCGUGAGUGACGGUAAUGGGUAAAGAAGCACCGGCUAACUACGUG